This 255-nucleotide ribosomal RNA is filed under the name uncultured bacterium. RNAcentral describes it as "partial 16S ribosomal RNA". It matches the Rfam family "Bacterial small subunit ribosomal RNA", at positions 524 to 776 of the family's 1533-position model. The record is from RNAcentral.
UACGGGGGGGGCAAGCGUUGUUCGGAAUUACUGGGCGUAAAGGGCGCGUAGGCGGUCAGACCAAGUCGAGUGUGAAAUUCCAGGGCUUAACUCUGGCACGCUCGCUCGAUACUGGUCGGCUAGAGUGUGGAAGAGGAUGCUGGAAUUCCUGGUGUAGCGGUGAAAUGCGCAGAUAUCAGGAGGAACACCGGUGGCGAAGGCGGGUCUCUGGGCCGUAACUGACGCUGAGGAGCGAAAGCGUGGGGAGCGAACAGG